UCUGGCUAUCAAGACUCUUGAAAUGUGGAUGGUUUGCUAAAUGGACACAGAAUUGUUCAUUUAGAGCGAGAUGGUAUUCAUUCACAGUAAAUUCUCACCUUCCUAAUAGUUUUCCCAUAUACUGUAGUCUGGUAUCCACCCGAAGAGAUUUUAUGUUGUGGAUGUGUUGAUUUCCCUACUUUUGUACCAUACUAACAAGCCUCAUUUCUCCCUUGGGUUCAGUUGCCUACGCCACCUAAAAUAGAGUUCUCUCCACUUCAAGCUUGGAACUCAGGAGUACAGAAGUCUAUCCAUGCACUCUCCGUAGCUCCAACCAGAGCAACCGAAUACACCAGCCAAGGUGUGCAAUACCUGAAAGAUCUCACCAAGUGAAGACUGUAUUUUCCCUCUGACACUCGUUCAGGUUCUUUUUGCUCAAGCUUAUUGAGUUAUAUUACCAUUCAGAAAGCCCCGUCCCCUUUCACUCAAUACAGUGUACAAGUGACUUAUUUAUAAUUGAAUUCAUUGGAUACUUCUCUACUGGGAUUAGAUGAAUACAAAAUUCUCUACAGUAUUUGCUCACAAUUUGCCUUGGGGGAAAUU
Molecule: long non-coding RNA, 582 nt
Organism: Alosa sapidissima (American shad)
Lineage: Eukaryota; Metazoa; Chordata; Actinopteri; Clupeiformes; Clupeidae
Exons: 2
Source: RefSeq, a predicted model, not a curated record